CGAGCGGGAAGAGCUCAAAUUUAUAAUCUGGCACCUUCGGUGUCCGAGUUGUAAUCUCUAGAAGUGUUUUCCGCGUUGGACCGCACACAAGUCUGUUGGAAUACAGCGGCACAGUGGUGAUACCCCCGUACACGGUGCGGACGCCCAGCGCUUUGUGAUACACUUUCAAUGAGUCGAGUUGUUUGGGAAUGCAGCUCAAAUUGGGUGGUAAAUUCCAUCUAAAGCUAAAUAUUGGCGAGAGACCGAUAGCGAACAAGUACCGUGAGGGAAAGAUGAAAAGCACUUUGGAAAGAGAGUUAACAGUACGUGAAAUUGUUGGAAGGGAAACGCUUGAAGUCAGACUUGCUUGCCGGAGCUUGCUUCGGUUUGCAGGCCAGCAUCAGUUUUCCGGGGUGGAUAAUGGUGGUUUGAAGGUAGCAGCCUCGGCUGUGUUAUAGCUUUCCACUGGAUACAUCCUGGGGGACUGAGGAACGCAGCGUGCUUUUUGCGAAGGUUUCGACCUUUUCACGCUUAGGAUGCUGGUGUAAUGACUUUAAACGACCC
RNAcentral lists this ribosomal RNA (543 nucleotides) under Rhodotorula kratochvilovae. Its description in RNAcentral is "partial large subunit ribosomal RNA". It matches the Rfam family "Eukaryotic large subunit ribosomal RNA", at positions 95 to 650 of the family's 3401-position model. Lineage: Eukaryota; Fungi; Basidiomycota; Microbotryomycetes; Sporidiobolales; Sporidiobolaceae. The record is from RNAcentral.